GACGAACGCUGGCGGCGUGCUUAACACAUGCAAGUCGAACGCUGAAGCUCAGCUUUUGUUGGGUGGAUGAGUGGCGAACGGGUGAGUAACACGUGAGUAACCUGCCUCCUUCUUUGGGAUAACGCCCGGAAACGGGUGCUAAUACUGGAUAUUCACUGGUCUUCGCAUGGGGGUUGGUGGAAAGGGUUUUUCUGGUGGGGGAUGGGCUCGCGGCCUAUCAGCUUGUUGGUGGGGUGAUGGCCUACCAAGGCUUUGGCGGGUAGCCGGCCUGAGAGGGUGACCGGUCACAUUGGGACUGAGAUACGGCCCAGACUCCUACGGGAGGCAGCAGUGGGGAAUAUUGCACAAUGGGCGCAAGCCUGAUGCAGCGACGCCGCGUGAGGGAUGGAGGCCUUCGGGUUGUGAACCUCUUUCGCUCAUGGUCAAGCCGCAACAAUGGUUGUGGUGAGGGUAGUGGGUAAAGAAGCGCCGGCUAACUACGUG
This 483-nucleotide ribosomal RNA is filed under the name uncultured bacterium. RNAcentral describes it as "partial 16S ribosomal RNA". It matches the Rfam family "Bacterial small subunit ribosomal RNA", at positions 28 to 507 of the family's 1533-position model. The record is from RNAcentral.